UUAAGGACCUUGAUACUCAGAUUGAUCAUCAAGAUCUCAAUUAUAAGCUCAAGUCUUGAUGACAACUUGGUGAUCUGCAGGAAGCACCACCAUGUAAGGAAGGCCAAGACCACUCUGGAAUCAGUCAAGGCUCAAAGGAACUCCAAUCUUCCCAACUGUGAGAGGGCCUUGCUCCAGUGACUGUGAAAUGGAGUGAGGCAUACAAGGAUAUGUGUGGUUUUACUCUUGGGAAGGAGGUUGAACAGUGCAGUGUUUCUUCUCUAGGAUUGCAGUGACCAGACAUGCUACUGUAACUCUCAUGGUCAUGUGCUGGAAUUAGCAGAUAUUCAACAAUUUGGCCAUCUCGCUGACCUAUUGAUAUCAGAAGACCGCAACAGCUCUGCAAAGCAAGUUGCAAAAAAGAAUCCAUGGAACUGGCAUUGACUGGAAACCAAUUGGAAGACUUUGGUUUGUGAUGUAGAGGAGUGGGCAGAGGGUGAGGAAAUUCUUAUUAAUAUUACAUGUAGUCAUGAAAAAUUGUAAGUGUUACUAUUAUUGUCAUUUUUUCAGUAGCAGAAGCAAAGACAACAAAAAACAGAAGUGAUAUGGAUGUCUUCGUCAUAUGGCAUGACUCUGCUGAUCCCGCAACAAAGAGGAGGGUGUUCAACAUCAUCCUGCUAGUCAGGAUUCUUCGGGAGCAGUGGAUUCUUGUGGCAGAGAUGGCCAACCACUAUAAAUACCUUUCAACUCAUCCUGGUUCUUUCAAAGAACUUUCCUGCUUGUUUGCUUCUGAAAAGUACUGGUAUGUAUUUGUAUUAUUUGGCUCAAACUCAAGCAUAAGGUUACCCAGUCCAAAGGAUAUUAAUAUAUUUUUAUGUUGUUGUGUUCUUCUUUUAUGAUUCGACAUGUGGCCUAAACAAAGAGGGGUUAAAAGGUCUAUAGAUCAUCAUUCUCAAAAAGAAACA
RNAcentral lists this long non-coding RNA (944 nucleotides) under Danio rerio (zebrafish). RNAcentral's name for it is "lncRNA si:dkey-51d8.11 (ENSDARG00000095099.3)". The record is from RNAcentral. Lineage: Eukaryota; Metazoa; Chordata; Actinopteri; Cypriniformes; Danionidae.